This 868-nucleotide ribosomal RNA is filed under the name uncultured bacterium. RNAcentral describes it as "bacterial SSU rRNA". It matches the Rfam family "Bacterial small subunit ribosomal RNA", at positions 8 to 917 of the family's 1533-position model. The record is from RNAcentral.
AGAGUUUGAUCCUGGCUCAGGAUGAACGCUGGCGGUAUGCUUAACACAUGCAAGCCGAACGGGAUGCUUAGGCAUCUAGUGGCGGACGGGUGAGUAACGCGUGAGAAUCUGGCUCCAGGUCGGGGAUAACAGUUGGAAACGACUGCUAAUACCGGAUGUGCCGAAAGGUGAAAGGUUUAUUGCCUGGAGAUGAGCUCGCGUCUGAUUAGCUAGUUGGUGGUGUAAGGGACCACCAAGGCAUCGAUCAGUAGCUGGUCUGAGAGGAUGAUCAGCCACACUGGGACUGAGACACGGCUCAGACUCCUACGGGAGGCAGCAGUGGGGAAUUUUCCGCAAUGGGCGAAAGCCUGACGGAGCAAUACCGCGUGAGGGAGGAAGGCUCUUGGGUCGUAAACCUCUUUUCUCAAGGAAGAAGAAAGUGACGGUACUUGAGGAAUAAGCAUCGGCUAACUCCGUGCCAGCAGCCGCGGUAAUACGGAGGAUGCAAGCGUUAUCCGGAAUGAUUGGGCGUAAAGGGUCUGCAGGUGGAACUGAAAGUCUGCUGUUAAAGAGUUUGGCUUAACCAAAUAAAAGCGGUGGAAACUACAGAACUAGAGUGUGGUAGGGGCAAAAGGAAUUCCUGGUGUAGCGGUGAAAUGCGUAGAUAUCAGGAAGAACACCGGUGGCGAAAGCGUUUUGCUAGACCAUAACUGACACUGAGGGACGAAAGCUAGGGGAGCGAAUGGGAUUAGAUACCCCAGUAGUCCUAGCCGUAAACGAUGGAUACUAGGCGUGGCUUGUAUCGACCCGAGCCGUGCCGGAGCUAACGCGUUAAGUAUCCCGCCUGGGGAGUACGCACGCAAGUGUGAAACUCAAAGGAAUUGACGGG